RNAcentral lists this long non-coding RNA (388 nucleotides) under Cottoperca gobio. RNAcentral's name for it is "lncRNA (ENSCGOG00000000569.1)". The record is from RNAcentral. Lineage: Eukaryota; Metazoa; Chordata; Actinopteri; Perciformes; Bovichtidae.
AUUUACACGUUGCUCAGUUGCUUGCAUCCUAAUUUUUAAAGUUAAAGUUGGCCAAAUCUGCUUCAAUACAGAUGUUAUCAUACGUUGUUCCCUGUGGCUGGGUGUGCAGCAAGCAUCAGCUGAGUACUGUGGAGAACAAGAGCUUUCAGGUCACGGAUUACAAACCAGAAACAUGUGCAACACAUUCUACACAGUGUGACCGCCAUCUUCUUCGACUGUUGACCUUAUUCGGACAGACGGCGUAUAAAACUGUGAAGACAGCAGAUGAACAGAUGGAUUACAGCUCCAUUCACACCAGGCUUUUCAUGCGGCAGAUUGCCUUGGCCUGGACAUCACAGUCUGCCCACGAGUCUCAUCCAGAACAGGAAAUGAUGGUACCACAGCCGCC